AUUGAACGCUGGCGGCAUGCCUUACACAUGCAAGUCGAACGGCAGCAUGGAAGAGCUUGCUCUUCUGAUGGCGAGUGGCGAACGGGUGAGUAAAGCAUCGGAACGUACCGUGUAGUGGGGGAUAACGUAGCGAAAGUUACGCUAAUACCGCAUACGCACUGAGGUGGAAAGCAGGGGAUCGCAAGACCUUGCGCUAUACGAGCGGCCGAUGUCAGAUUAGCUAGUUGGUAGGGUAAAGGCUCACCAAGCCAACGAUCUGUAGCUGGUCUGAGAGGACGACCAGCCACACUGGAACUGAGACACGGUCCAGACUCCUACGGGAGGCAGCAGUGGGGGAAUUUUUGGACAAUGGACGCAAGUCUGAUCCAGCCAUUCCGCGUGCAGGAUGAAGGCCCUCGGGUUGUAAACUGCUUUUGUACGGAACGAAAAGGUCUCUCUUAAUACGGGGGGCUCAUGACGGUACCGUAAGAAUAAGCACCGGCUAACUU
RNAcentral lists this ribosomal RNA (488 nucleotides) under uncultured bacterium. RNAcentral describes it as "bacterial SSU rRNA". It matches the Rfam family "Bacterial small subunit ribosomal RNA", at positions 30 to 503 of the family's 1533-position model. The record is from RNAcentral.